This 1390-nucleotide ribosomal RNA is filed under the name uncultured bacterium. RNAcentral describes it as "16S ribosomal RNA". It matches the Rfam family "Bacterial small subunit ribosomal RNA". The record is from RNAcentral.
AGAGUUUGAUCCUGGCUCAGGAUGAACGCUGGCGGCGUGCAUAACACAUUCAAGUCGAACGGGAAGGAAGAGGAAGCUUGCUUCAUCUUCCGGAUAGUGGCGGACGGGUGAGUAACGCGUGAGCAACCUGCCUCGGUGAGGGGGAUAACACAGGGAAACUUGUGCUAAUACCGCAUAACAUAGCGAAGCCGCAUGACUUUGCUAUCAAAACUCCGGUGCACUGAGAUGGGCUCGCGUCCGAUUAGAUAGUUGGUGGGGUAACGGCCUACCAAGUCGACGAUCGGUAGCCGGACUGAGAGGUUGAACGGCCACAUUGGAACUGAGAUACGGUCCAGACUCCUACGGGAGGCAGCAGUGGGGAAUAUUGGGCAAUGGACGAAAGUCUGACCCAGCGACGCCGCGUGAGGGAAGAAGGUCUUCGGAUUGUAAACCUUAGUCAACAGGGAAGAAGAAAGUGACGGUACCUGUGGAGGAAGCCACGGCUAACUACGUGCCAGCAGCCGCGGUAAUACGUAGGUGGCAAGCGUUAUCCGGAUUUACUGGGUGUAAAGGGUGUGUAGGCGGGAUUGCAAGUCAGAUGUGAAAACUAAUGGGCUUAACCCAUAGCCUUGCAUUUGAAACUGCAGUUUCUUGAGAGUCGGAGAGGUAAAUGGAAAUUCCCCCGGUGUAGCGGGUGGAAUGCUUUGAUAUGGGGAGGAACACCAGGGGGGAAGGCGGAUUUACUGGGGGGCAACUGACGCUGAGACACGAAAAGGGUGGGGAGCAAACAGGAUUAGAUACCCUGGUAGUCCACACUGUAAACGAUGAAUGCUAGGUGUAGGGUGAGUUAUCAUUCUGGUGCCGCAGCUAACGCAAUAAGCAUUCCACCUGGGGAGUACGGCCGCAAGGUUGAAACUCAAAGGAAUUGACGGGAGCCCGCACAAGCAGUGGAGUAUGUGGAUUAAUUCGACGCAACGCGAAGAACCUUACCGAAACUUGACAUCCCAGGAAGACCGAUGUAAUGUUGUUUGUGCCCUUCGGGGAACCUGGUGACAGGUGGUGCAUGGUUGUCGUCAGCUCGUGUCGUGAGAUGUUGGGUUAAGUCCCGCAACGAGCGCAACCCCUACGGUUAGUUGCUACGCAAGAGCACUCUAGCCGGACUGCCGUUGACAAAACGGAGGAAGGUGGGGACGACGUCAAAUCAUCAUGCCCCUUACGUUUCGGGCCUCACACGUACUACAAUGGCGCAAACAAAGGGAAGCAAUGCCGCGAGGCGGAGCAAAACCCAAAAAAGGCGUCCCAGUUCGGACUGCAGGCUGCAACUCGCCUGCACAAAGUUGGAAUUGCUAGUAAUCGCGGAUCAGCAUGCCGCGGUGAAUACAAUCCCGGGCUUUGCACUCACCGCCCGUCA